CCGGCCAGCUCCGCCCCUGCCCCGCGGGCUGGCCCCAAAGGGCUGCCGGACCCUAGGACCCGAGGCGAACCUGUCUCGCUAGAAGCCGGACCUUGGCGAGUCGAUGGUUCAAGAUUCAACAAUGGCUAAAGAAUAGGUCAU
Molecule: long non-coding RNA, 141 nt
Filed under: Fukomys damarensis (Damara mole-rat)
Lineage: Eukaryota; Metazoa; Chordata; Mammalia; Rodentia; Bathyergidae
Description: lncRNA (ENSFDAG00000030234.1)
Source: RNAcentral